UGGGGAAUUUUGGACAAUGGGGGCAACCCUGAUCCAGCAAUGCCGCGCGCAGGAAGAAGGCCUUCGGGUUGUAAACUGCUUUUGUACGGAACGAAACGGUCUGGAUUAAUACCCUGGGCUAAUGACGGUACCGUAAGAAUAAGCACCGGCUAACUACGUGCCAGCAGCCGCGGUAAUACGUAGGGUGCGAGCGUUAAUCGGAAUUACUGGGCGUAAAGCGUGCGCAGGCGGUUUUGUAAGACAGGCGUGAAAUCCCCGGGCUCAACCUGGGAAUGGCGCUUGUGACUGCAAAGCUGGAGUGCGGCAGAGGGGGAUGGAAUUCCGCGUGUAGCAGUGAAAUGCGUAGAUAUGCGGAGGAACACCGAUGGCGAAGGCAAUCCCCUGGGCCUGCACUGACGCCCAUGCACGAAAGCGUGGGGAGCAAACAG
Molecule: ribosomal RNA, 428 nt
Filed under: uncultured bacterium
Lineage: Bacteria
Description: bacterial SSU rRNA
Rfam family: Bacterial small subunit ribosomal RNA
Source: RNAcentral